UACGAAGGCCACAAGCGUUAUCCGGAUUUAUUGGGCGUAAAGCGCGUGUAGGGGGUUCGGUAAGUUUCUGGUUAAAUCUUAGGGCUCAACCCUGAGCAUGCCAGAAAUACUGCCAGACUAGAGGGCGUUAGAGGCAGAUGGAACGCACGGUGUAGGGGUGAAAUCCGUUGAUAUCGUGCGGAACACCAAAGGCGAAGGCAUUCUGCUGGGACGUUCCUGACCCUGAGACGCGAAAGCGUGGGGAG
Molecule: ribosomal RNA, 245 nt
Filed under: uncultured bacterium
Lineage: Bacteria
Description: partial 16S ribosomal RNA
Rfam family: Bacterial small subunit ribosomal RNA
Source: RNAcentral